Molecule: long non-coding RNA, 700 nt
Filed under: Homo sapiens (human)
Lineage: Eukaryota; Metazoa; Chordata; Mammalia; Primates; Hominidae
Description: HSALNT0139927
Source: RNAcentral
CCCUCUGAUACUCAGUGUGUCAGUCACACCGGGAUUCAUUCACUGAGUUCCGGGAGCAAGGCAGCUUUUCAAGGCUGGGCACUAAACAGGGGGAGCUUUGUGAGUGCCUAGACUCCUCUGCCGGCCACCUGCUCUUCCUCUCCUUGGCUUCCACGAAGAAAGCUGCAUGAGAGCAGGGAAUUGCUUUGUCCAAUGCUAAUCACUAAAGCUUAGAAUACUGCUUGUUACAUGGGCCAGAAGUCAAGAAUAGGAGAGCAGCAGAAAACCACUAAAUAUGACAGCCAGCUUCACAUGGUUGGGGACCUCUGGCUGGUGAUGUUACCUGCCACAGGAUGUGCCCUGCCCAAUCAGCUUGCCAAGUCUAGCUUGUGCACUGGUUCCUGAGUUCUUGUCCUGUGCCCAAGAAGAAUGAGGAUGUGCUGACCAUUGAAGGAGUCUUGUUCUGUUGACCAGGCUGGAAUGCUGUGGUGUGAUCUCGCCUCAUUUCAACCUCCACCUCCCAGGUUCAAGCGAUUCUCCUGCCUCAGCCUCCCGAGUAGCUGAGACUACAGAGCCACCUCUUAGUUGGACUAUUUCACUGCAACAGUCCCCUUCAGCUGAUGCUGAGUCUAUGGACCGAUUCCGGUCUGAGAACUGGGAAGGAGCUCUAGCUCUCCAAACAGUUAAUCCUGAAAUUUUACUGGGCAUUGAGCGUGCAGAG